This 166-nucleotide ribosomal RNA is filed under the name Myriangium sp. Its description in RNAcentral is "partial large subunit ribosomal RNA". It matches the Rfam family "Eukaryotic large subunit ribosomal RNA", at positions 99 to 261 of the family's 3401-position model. Lineage: Eukaryota; Fungi; Ascomycota; Dothideomycetes; Myriangiales; Myriangiaceae. The record is from RNAcentral.
CGGCAACAGCUCAAAUUUGAAAUCUGGCCCCCCCCGGGGCCCGAGUUGUAAUUUGGAGAGGAUGCUUUUGGGCAACCGCCGGCCUAAGUUCCUUGGAACAGGACGUCACAGAGGGUGAGAAUCCCGUACGUGGCCGGAAAGGUGCCCUCCGUAAAGCUCCUUCGAC